This 301-nucleotide ribosomal RNA is filed under the name uncultured bacterium. RNAcentral's name for it is "partial 16S ribosomal RNA". It matches the Rfam family "Bacterial small subunit ribosomal RNA", at positions 512 to 808 of the family's 1533-position model. The record is from RNAcentral.
CAUCGCCGCGGUAAUACAGAGGGUGCGAGCGUUAAUCGGAUUUACUGGGCGUAAAGCGUGCGUAGGCGGCUUCUUAAGUCGGAUGUGAAAUCCCUGAGCUUAACUUAGGAAUUGCAUUCGAUACUGGGAAGCUAGAGUAUGGGAGAGGAUGGUAGAAUUCCAGGUGUAGCGGUGAAAUGCGUAGAGAUCUGGAGGAAUACCGAUGGCGAAGGCAGCCAUCUGGCCUAAUACUGACGCUGAGGUACGAAAGCAUGGGGAGCAAACAGGAUUAGAUAUCCGCGUAGUCCCUGUCUCUUAUACA